GAUCCUGGCUCAGGACGAACGCUGGCGGCGUGCCUAACACAUGCAAGUCGAACGGAACUUCUUUAAAGGAUUUCUUCGGAAUGAAUUUGAUUAAGUUUAGUGGCGGACGGGUGAGUAACGCGNGAGUAACCUGCCUCUGAGAGGGGAAUAACAUUCUGAAAAGAAUGCUAAUACCGCAUAAUAUAUAUUUAUCGCAUGGUAGAUAUAUCAAAGAUUUAUCGCUUAGAGAUGGACUCGCGUCCGA
This 244-nucleotide ribosomal RNA is filed under the name uncultured bacterium. Its description in RNAcentral is "partial 16S ribosomal RNA". It matches the Rfam family "Bacterial small subunit ribosomal RNA", at positions 15 to 240 of the family's 1533-position model. The record is from RNAcentral.